RNAcentral lists this ribosomal RNA (449 nucleotides) under uncultured bacterium. RNAcentral's name for it is "bacterial SSU rRNA". It matches the Rfam family "Bacterial small subunit ribosomal RNA", at positions 355 to 796 of the family's 1533-position model. The record is from RNAcentral.
UGGGGAAUCUUGCGCAAUGGGCGAAAGCCUGACGCAGCGACGCCGCGUGGAGGAUGAAGGCCUUAGGGUUGUAAACUUCUGUUAAGUGGGAAGAAAUAGCCAUCUCUAAUAAAGAUGGAAGAUGACGGUACCAUUAGAGAAAGCACCGGCUAAACUCGUGCCAGCAGCCGCGGUAAUACGAGUGGUGCAAGCGUUAUUCGGAAUCAUUGGGCGUAAAGGGUGUGUAGGCGGUUUAUUAAGUCAACUGUUUAAUUCUCUGGCUCAACCGGAGGUCAGCGGUAGAAACUGAUAGGCUAGAGGGUGAGAGAGAGAAGUGGAAUUCUCGGAGUAGCGGUAAAAUGCGUAGAUCUCGAGAGGAACACCAAUGGCGAAGGCAGCUUCUUGGCUCAUUCCUGACGUUAAAACACGAAAGCGUGGGGAGCAAACAGGAUUAGAUACCCGGGUAGUCC